RNAcentral lists this non-coding RNA (26 nucleotides) under Mus musculus (house mouse). The record is from RNAcentral. Lineage: Eukaryota; Metazoa; Chordata; Mammalia; Rodentia; Muridae.
UGUGCUCCGCUAAGCACAGUGAGUGU